UUUGGGAUGUAGCUCAAUGUUAGAGUGCUUACCUAGCAUGGAUGAGGCUCUGGGUUCAAUUCCCAGUACUGAAG
RNAcentral lists this transfer RNA (74 nucleotides) under Marmota monax (woodchuck). Its description in RNAcentral is "tRNA.Ala". The stretch from base 8 to 68 matches the Rfam family "tRNA", at positions 6 to 65 of the family's 71-position model. From Rfam's summary of the family: Transfer RNA (tRNA) molecules are approximately 80 nucleotides in length. Their secondary structure includes four short double-helical elements and three loops (D, anti-codon, and T loops). Lineage: Eukaryota; Metazoa; Chordata; Mammalia; Rodentia; Sciuridae. The record is from RNAcentral.